Molecule: small nuclear RNA, 104 nt
Filed under: Cebus imitator (Panamanian white-faced capuchin)
Lineage: Eukaryota; Metazoa; Chordata; Mammalia; Primates; Cebidae
Source: RNAcentral
AUGCUCGCUUCAGCACAUAUACUAAAAUUGGAACAAUGCAGAGAAGAUUAGCACGGUCCCCGCACAAGGAUGACAGGCAAAUCCAUGAAGUGUUCCAUAUUUUC